GAGUUGUUAUGGGCAUGCUAUGCAUGGCGGGCUCCCUGUACUUCGGUGCAGCCAACCGCUGUGGGGCUGUCUUUUCACUGUCCCUCCCGAUGCGCUUUUUUGGGCGUGGGUGGGAACGCUUGCUGUCGGUGGUCUGUGUGGUUCUACCCUCGUGUGGAACAAAAUUGGGUUUCAUGAUAGGCUUCUGCAUGCGCUGUCGGCACGUGCUGCCAUCGGCGCGGCUGAUUUGUUGGCAUAACGCUUGUGCGGCUGUGGGUGCACGAAUGGCUUCAGUACUGCACACGUGUUUUGUCGGCUCUCAUGGAUGCGGUGCGCAUUGAGGAAUCCAUGCGUCUUCGGUCGCUGGAUUACUUCGGGAUGUCCCUCGCACGAAUCGUCGCUCCGUUGCUUUGCUUCGGGGCGCGCUUCUGUGCUGGUGAGAUGGUUGCCCGGUUGAAAGUACGAUUGUCCGAUCUUGUCGUGCGAAAGCGCGCUCCCGUUGGGGGCGUGUCGGAAGCGACUGGUUGGCACUCGUGAAGACGUGCUA
Molecule: unclassified non-coding RNA, 526 nt
Filed under: Schoenus racemosus
Lineage: Eukaryota; Viridiplantae; Streptophyta; Magnoliopsida; Poales; Cyperaceae
Description: partial external transcribed spacer
Source: RNAcentral